Musca domestica (house fly) is the source of this 800-nucleotide long non-coding RNA. RefSeq lists it as uncharacterized. The record is from RefSeq and is a predicted model, not a curated record. The transcript is spliced from 3 exons. Lineage: Eukaryota; Metazoa; Arthropoda; Insecta; Diptera; Muscidae.
AGUACAUCGCUUACUUAAAAAUCGGUAUGUUCCUAUAGAAACACGUUAACCCAUUAUUUUCUAAAUCUGACAAAAUGAUGAGAAACGGCUGGCAUUCCCCAGAGACCUUGAAAUCAUUGUCUCAAGUGGUCAACCCUGUUUCUUCCAAGAGCCACGAUAAACUGGUACAACGAACAAGUCUAUCAAAAUCAUCGCCCCAAGUUAGGAGAAAUUAGGAAUAUUUUACACUGGCCAUAAUCGCAUAAUUCUGAUGCCGACUACUGCAGGCUAGUGGGAGGACUAGGAUGUUGUCGAGUUGUUGUCGCAGGCCCGCCGAAAUCGAAUUUUGUGAGGUUUACAGACUCCUUUAUAAAAGCCAAUAUGAAACAGUGACAGUUAUGAAAACAAAAAUUGUGCAAACAGAAUUGUUAUUACAUUAGAAGUUUUGAUCAAGUUCAGAAAAAUACAGGCUGUUAAAAUUAUACUUACAAAAGCAUUUUGAAGUGGCUAUCGUUAGCGACUUGAUCGAAACUCGCGUCGCAGUGGCCGAAAAUGUCUCGUGAGUUGAACAUAUCUCAAUAUUCAUUUCGGCAAAUAUAGAAAAAUGAGCCAUUGAAAUUCCAAAAAGUACAAGAACUUACACCGCAACAGAAAGAAAAUAGACUCAAAAGAGCUAAAGAGUUGCUUCGAACUUUCGCUUACAUUUUGUCGCCCUAUCAUUCAAAUCCUAAACAAAUGAACAUGUGUGAGUAAUAUCUUGUAUAUUAUAUUGUAUACAUUUUGCAGAAUCAACACAAUUGCUCGGCCUUCAAGAGAAACAA